UACGUAGGGUGCAAGCGUUGUCCGGAAUUAUUGGGCGUAAAGAGCUCGUAGGCGGUCUGUCGCGUCGGAUGUGAAAUCCCCAGGCUCAACCUGGGAAUGGCAUCCGAUACUGGAGGGCUUGAAUCCGGGAGAGGGAUGCAGAAUUCCAGGUGUAGCGGUGAAAUGCGUAGAUAUCUGGAGGAAUACCGGUGGCGAAGGCGGCAUCCUGGACCGGCAUUGACGCUGAGGAGCGAAAGCUAGGGGAGCAAACAGG
RNAcentral lists this ribosomal RNA (253 nucleotides) under uncultured bacterium. RNAcentral's name for it is "partial 16S ribosomal RNA". It matches the Rfam family "Bacterial small subunit ribosomal RNA", at positions 524 to 776 of the family's 1533-position model. The record is from RNAcentral.